This 91-nucleotide transfer RNA is filed under the name Planctomycetota bacterium. RNAcentral's name for it is "Planctomycetes bacterium (anaerobic digester metagenome) tRNA-Ser". It matches the Rfam family "tRNA". Rfam says of the family: Transfer RNA (tRNA) molecules are approximately 80 nucleotides in length. Their secondary structure includes four short double-helical elements and three loops (D, anti-codon, and T loops). Lineage: Bacteria; Pseudomonadati; Planctomycetota. The record is from RNAcentral.
GGAGAGGUGGCUGAGUGGCUGAAAGCGACGGUUUGCUAAACCGUUGUACGGACUAAUCCCCGUACCCCGGGUUCGAAUCCCGGCCUCUCCG